CAAUAGCGUAUAUUAAAGUUGUUGCGGUUAAAAAGCUCGUAGUUGGAUUUCUGCUGAGAACGACCGGUCCGCCCUUUGGGUGUGUAUCUGGCUCUUUCUUGGCAUCUUCUUGGUGAACGUUGCUGCACUUGACUGUGUGGAGCGCUACCCAGGACUUUUACUUUGAGGAAAUUAGAGUGUUUCAAGCAGGCAUACGCCUUGAAUACAUUAGCAUGGAAUAAUAAGAUAGGACCUCGGUUCUAUUUUGUUGGUUUCUAGAGCUGAGGUAAUGAUUAAUAGGGAUAGUUGGGGGCAUUCGUAUUUAACUGUCAGAGGUGAAAUUCUUGGAUUUGUUAAAGACGGACGACUGCGAAAGCAUUUGCCAAGGAUGUUUUCAUUG
This 379-nucleotide ribosomal RNA is filed under the name uncultured eukaryote. RNAcentral describes it as "partial 18S ribosomal RNA". It matches the Rfam family "Eukaryotic small subunit ribosomal RNA", at positions 592 to 975 of the family's 1831-position model. The record is from RNAcentral.